Chroicocephalus ridibundus (black-headed gull) is the source of this 808-nucleotide long non-coding RNA. RefSeq lists it as uncharacterized. The transcript is spliced from 3 exons. NCBI's taxonomy places the organism in Eukaryota, Metazoa, Chordata, Aves, Charadriiformes, Laridae. The record is from RefSeq and is a predicted model, not a curated record.
GCCGGGGCGCUCCGGAAGCGGAGGGGCCCGGGGGAAAAUGGCGGCCAGCUCGAAGGCGGAGCGGGACGGCCUGGGCGGAAAGUGGGGCUCAACGAGCGGGUCCUCGGCCGGGCCAGGCCGGGCUCGUGGGGCCUCCACGAGCACGUUGUGAGGCGUCUGGAUCGCGUCAAGGAUGAGGAGCCCUGCAGUGACCUGUACCUGAGGAUCUGCGAGGGGCUCAGCGACUUCUCUAAGGUCAUUGUUCUUGGCUUCAAGGGAGUGUGCCCUGUGUCAUCGCCAUGUUUUCCCCCCAGCAGGGACUGCCUCCUCCACACCAGCUAUUCCCUGGGGGCCUGUGCUGUUGCCGUCCACGUUACAGGUGCCUUGUUGUAGACGUCUCGUGCUGCUCGAGAGAUGCCCCAGCCCAGGUUUGCAGCUGGUGGUGGAGCCCCCCUGAACGGAAGAGGCCAGCCCUGGGUCUGGGUGGUUUGGGCCUCUUUUUGGGGUGAAUAGAAGGGUGUCUGUGUGUGUCUCAGGGGGUGAUGAUGUCAUGUGGGGCACCCCAAUGUCAUUGGGGCAGCGAUGAUGCAACAGAGGAGCAGUUGACUGGGGGAUGGGGAGGGGGUUACAUGAAGAUCUCCCGAAAGAGGUAGGUCACAGCCCCAAAAGGUCUGAAAAUUCUUGGGAUGCAGUAAAAAAAAAUGUAAAAAGCUGUAACUAUGGGCAUGAGGCACUGAAAUAGGGAACAGUCUCUCAUUUAUAUAUGAGAAAAAAAAAAUAAUAUUAUGUAUGUAAAAUAAGUUCAAAAUAAAGUCCUCUGUCUCUAAGG